This 236-nucleotide ribosomal RNA is filed under the name Gnamptogenys concinna. Its description in RNAcentral is "partial 28S ribosomal RNA". The record is from RNAcentral. Lineage: Eukaryota; Metazoa; Arthropoda; Insecta; Hymenoptera; Formicidae.
AAACCUAAGAAACCCAAAAGAUCGAACGGGGAGAUUCAUCGUCAGCGGCGCUGGCUUCGCGUCGGUGGGCGAUGUCCCGCGGGGUCCUCGUGGCUCGCUUGCGCGGGCACGCUACCGUGCGUCGACGUCCGGCGUUCGUAGUCGUGCACUUCUCCCCUAGUAGAACGUCGCGACCCGCUGGAUACCGGUCGGCGACGCUACUGCUUUGGGUACUCUUAGGACCCGUCUUGAAACAC